GGGCCCAUAGCUCAGUUGGGAGAGCGUUCGGUUCGCAUCCGAAAGGUCGAGGGUUCAAGUCCCUUUGGGUCCA
This 73-nucleotide transfer RNA is filed under the name Bacillota bacterium. RNAcentral describes it as "Firmicutes bacterium (gut metagenome) tRNA-Ala". It matches the Rfam family "tRNA". From Rfam's summary of the family: Transfer RNA (tRNA) molecules are approximately 80 nucleotides in length. Their secondary structure includes four short double-helical elements and three loops (D, anti-codon, and T loops). The record is from RNAcentral. Lineage: Bacteria; Bacillati; Bacillota.